This 492-nucleotide ribosomal RNA is filed under the name uncultured bacterium. RNAcentral describes it as "partial 16S ribosomal RNA". It matches the Rfam family "Bacterial small subunit ribosomal RNA", at positions 29 to 507 of the family's 1533-position model. The record is from RNAcentral.
AGUGAACGCUGGCGGUAUGCCUAACACAUGCAAGUCGAACGGCAGCACAGUAAGAGCUUGCUCUUACGGGUUGCGAGUGGCGGACGGGUGAGGAAUACAUCGGAAUCUACUUUUUCGUGGGGGAUAACGUAGGGAAACUUACGCUAAUACCGCAUACGACCUACGGGUGAAAGCAGGGGAUCUUCGGACCUUGAGCGAUUGAAUGAGCCGAUGUCGGAUUAGCUAGUUGGCGGGGUAAAGGCCCACCAAGGCGACGAUCCGUAGCUGGUCUGAGAGGAUGGUCAGCCACACUGGAACUGAGACACGGUCCAGACUCCUACGGGAGGCAGCAGUGGGGAAUAUUGGACAAUGGGCGCAAGCCUGAUCCAGCCAUACCGCGUGGGUGAAGAAGGCCUUCGGGUUGUAAAGCCCUUUUGUUGGGAAAGAAAAGCAGCAGGUUAAUACCCCGCUGUUCUGACGGUAACCAAAGAAUAAGCACCGGCUAACUUCGUG